GAUGAAGAACGUAGCGAAAUGCGAUAAGUAGUGUGAAUUGCAGAUUUCAGUGAAUCAUCGAAUCUUUGAACGCACAUUGCGCCCGCCAGUAUUCUGGCGGGCAUGCCUGUUCGAGCGUCAUUUCAACCCUCAGGGCCCUUUUGGACCUGGCGUUGGGGCUCGGCCGCUACCCUGCGGCCGUCCCCGAAAGAUAGUGGCGGUCUCGCUGUAGCCUCCUCUGCGUAGUAGUUACAUCUCGCACUGGAACGCGGCGCGGCCAUGCCGUUAAACACCCCACUUCUCAAGGUUGACCUCGGAUCAGGUAGGAAUACCCGCUGAACUUAAGCAUAUCAAUAAGCGGAGGA
RNAcentral lists this unclassified non-coding RNA (344 nucleotides) under soil metagenome. Its description in RNAcentral is "partial contains 5.8S ribosomal RNA, internal transcribed spacer 2, and large subunit ribosomal RNA". The stretch from base 1 to 120 matches the Rfam family "5.8S ribosomal RNA", at positions 35 to 154 of the family's 154-position model. The record is from RNAcentral.